AGCCCAACAUAGGACUCGAUCCCACCACCCCGGGAUCGUGACCUAAGCAGAAAUCAAGAGUCAGACACUCAACUGACCGAACCACCCAGGUGCCCCGACAUUGACAUUUUGGAAGGGUCCAGGCCUGUUCCUGUGUAGAAUUCCCCCCAAUUCGGGCUUGUCUGCUGGUUCACAAUUAGGCUCAGCUUACACAUUUCCGGCAGGGAUAGUGCAGAGACGCUAACUUCUUCCCCGUCGGUAGUCACGUGACCUUACGUGUAACUUAUCUCACUCCUGGCAAUAACUUGAUUACUUGGUUCGAGGGAUGUCUGCUGGAUUUCUCCCGUCUUUCACCCUCCAAACGUCCAGCCACUCAGUUUCAGCUUCCUUGCUGACCUGUGCCCGACGCCAUCACGAUGACCACAGUUGGCGGGAGGCGCAUUUGUGCUUGUCUCGUCCUCCCGCGUCCUCGUCCUAUGCCGGGGAGAGCUGCCCUCCCCUCCCCCCCACCCCCGCCCCCAGCGCUGGCCCAUGACCUUCCCCUGAGGAUGGACUGUGGAUUCCUCAUCCAGCAGAUUCGAUCCUUCGCUAUCAUUAUUUAUCGCAGGCACAAGACACUCCAGAUCUCGACAGUGGGGUCCCGCGAGGCUGGCUUGUCGUCUUCUGACGCGACUCCAUCGUGAGCGAAGCUUGUCCUUACUUUUCGAAGCCACCGAGUGUGGAGGUUGUUUGGAUUGGAGACGCAGGCUCUGGCUUGACCACCCUGGAGGCGGUUUUCUUUGCGAAGAAGCUCGCCCUUGGGGGGUCCCAGGGUCUGGACGCAGGGGGACCGCCUCUGCCCAGGUCCUGCAGACCUCCCCGCCCAGGACCCGCCACCGCGUGCUGCCUGCAGGACCCCCGGAAACACGCCCCUCUUCUGCCUCAAAACCUCCCAGCCCCACCCCUUCCUCCGAGAAGCCCUCCGGGUUCCCUCCCCGGGCAGGCCGUGCUGCUCUUCUGCCACUGCGUCCGCCACAGAAGCUGCACCCUGGACUCCGCCGAGCCCGUUUUACAGUUGGGGAAACUGAGGCCAGGACUGUGCAGUGAGGAGUGCCCGGGUCACACCUGCACCCUCCACCUCGUCCCAGCCGCCCAGGGUCCGGCUCUUCCUGCCUUCGGGGAGCUGAUGUGGGAGAACCUCGGAGCUGCUCUCAGAAACCAAACGUUCUAGAAGACGCUGAGGUCCAGAUAGGGGGAAGUGGACUCGAGGAACCAAAUCGUUCACAACCCGAGGGGCCGGCAGCCCCAGCUUUCCUCUGAGGAGGCCCCUUGCACAUCCCAGGGGACGUCGGGGCGGGGGUGGGGGAUCGACCCUGGAGCGAUGGGCCGGUGUAGAGGUGGUCAGCAAACACCCGUGUGCCCGGUUAGCCCCCGAGGCCCGGCACGCCCAGUGAGAACGAGGUCGCUCAGGAAGAGGCCCAUUUCUCCAGGCGGCUUCCUGAAUGCCAAGCCACACUGCGGCGCUAACCGUGGACCACAGGCCCACAAACUUCCUGGCACUCUCUCCUGCCUGUUUCCUAGAAUCCCCCCCACAAGGCAACUGAGGCUCUUGAACGCCCCUCAGCAGGUGCAGCCGUGCCCACGGGAGGCCUGUGGUCGCCCCCAGAGCCCUGGCGAGUUUCCUCCGCUCUUCGUCCGGAACUCAGACGUGCAGCCUCUUUGAGGCAGCUCGCUUUUUCUGCAAGACGGACCCAGGAACGGUCAAGGGGCUCAGCCUCCCAUCCUAGUGCUGGGGGGGGGGUGGCGUUGGUGGGCUGGCGGGCCACGUGACUUGGGAGGCGCCAGACAUCCCUACCUAACAGAAGUAAAUAAAACCAACGGAUGGCCAAAGCCGUCAUUGUUGAGUUUGUUGUGUAUACACCAAAAAGACAGUUGGCAAAGCCGGGAACACUCAAACCAAAACACAGAAGGGGGCUUGGGGGUGUCCUUAGGGAGCGGCUUCUAUGGUGAGAAAGCAGUGUUCAUUCUCCACAGGGACUGGUUUUCGCAUCAGAAUUUUCCUCAACGGCAGGGAAUUGGUUAGCGGUCCUCUCACAUCAACCUCGGGAAAGAGAGGAAGCUUUGCUCUGAUUUUCAGAGGCACAAUCAAGAAAUGACUUGGGUCGGGGCGCCUGGGUGGCGCAGUCGGUUAAGCGUCCAACUUCAGCCAGGUCACGAUCUCGCGGUCCGUGAGUUUGAG
Molecule: long non-coding RNA, 2197 nt
Organism: Felis catus (domestic cat)
Lineage: Eukaryota; Metazoa; Chordata; Mammalia; Carnivora; Felidae
Exons: 3
Source: RefSeq, a predicted model, not a curated record